Molecule: long non-coding RNA, 741 nt
Filed under: Mytilus galloprovincialis (Mediterranean mussel)
Lineage: Eukaryota; Metazoa; Mollusca; Bivalvia; Mytilida; Mytilidae
Source: RNAcentral
AAAUGACAGGUUGCUGGAUUUGGCAUUAUGAUACAUGAUAUAAAAUAACACGCAGAAUACAGACUCCGGCUUACGUGUCGUACAUGCACAAUUUCAAACUGGAAUUUUUGCGCGGAGUGUUUUACUUAUAUAGAGGGUGCAUAUGUAAGCGUAAUUUCAUUCCACCGUGUAUUUAUUCCGGGUAUCUGUUUUUCACUAGAGAAUAUUGGAAGUAAAAAGUGUCACGAGCGUCGAUCUUGGUAUCGUUGUUUUGUUUAUAUUGACCGGUUUAUUGUUUACAUAUACAUUUAUGGGUUGAAAUAAUUUUCAGGGAAUUAGUUUAAUAGUCCUUCAUUACUGAGUAAAAAUAUAAUUUUUUCGUCAAUAGACAAGUUAUAAAAUUGAUCGUUAUGUUUUACUGCUUCAUUAUACAAUAUAUUUCGAAGGUCUGCAUAUAAAGGACAUAAAGUAACUAUAUGUUUCUCAUCUUCAAUUUCGUUUUUACACAUAAAACAACAUCUUUCAUUUAUUGGCUUUUUCUCAUAUCGUCCUGUUUCUAUUUUAAGUGGCGCAACGCCACAUCUAAAUUUUGCAUAAGCACUUCUAAAUUUAAUAGACAUAUAUUUUGUUUUAAAUAUAACUCUGUACAAUAUUGUGAUUUAUAUCGCUUAUAAGUACGAAGCUUGUUACCAUUACUCUGUGACAAAAUUUUCGUUUGCCAUUCUGCAAUAUAUUUAUUAAAUAAAACAUUUUCAAUUUGUA